AGUGAACGCUGGCGGUAGGCCUAACACAUGCAAGUCGAACGGCAGCACAGUAAGAGCUUGCUCUUACGGGUGGCGAGUGGCGGACGGGUGAGGAAUACAUCGGAAUCUACUUUUUCGUGGGGGAUAACGUAGGGAAACUUACGCUAAUACCGCAUACGACCUACGGGUGAAAGCAUGGGAUCUUCGGACCUUGCGCGAUUGAAUGAGCCGAUGUCGGAUUAGCUAGUUGGCGGGGUAGAGGCCCACCAAGGCGACGAUCCGUAGCUGGUCUGAGAGGAUGAUCAGCGACAUUGGAGCGUGGACACGGUCCAGACUCCUAAGGGAGGCAGCAGUGGGGAAUAUUGGACAAUGGGCGCAAGCCUGAUCCAACCAUACCGCGUGUGUGAAGAAGGCCUUCGGGUUGUAAAGCCCUUUUGUUGGGAAAGAAAAGCAGCAGGUUAAUACCCCGCUGUUCUGACGGUACCCAAAGAAUAAGCACCGGCUAACUUCGUG
This 492-nucleotide ribosomal RNA is filed under the name uncultured bacterium. RNAcentral's name for it is "partial 16S ribosomal RNA". It matches the Rfam family "Bacterial small subunit ribosomal RNA", at positions 29 to 507 of the family's 1533-position model. The record is from RNAcentral.